RNAcentral lists this ribosomal RNA (468 nucleotides) under uncultured bacterium. Its description in RNAcentral is "partial 16S ribosomal RNA". It matches the Rfam family "Bacterial small subunit ribosomal RNA", at positions 28 to 507 of the family's 1533-position model. The record is from RNAcentral.
GACGAACGCUGGCGGCGUGCUUAACACAUGCAAGUCGAACGGAAAGGCCCUGCUUUUGUGGGGUGCUCGAGUGGCGAACGGGUGAGUAACACGUGAGUAUCCUGCCCUUGUCUUUGGGAUAAAUUCAGGAGACUCGGGCUAAUACAGGAUAGGAGCUCCUGCUGCAUGGUGGGGGUUGGAAAAUUUCGGCGGUUGGGGAUGGAAUAGCGGCUUAUCGGCUUGAUGGGGGGGUUGUGGCUUCCCAAGGCUGUGAAGGGUACGCGGCCUGGGAGGUUUGCCGGCCACCUGGGGCCUGGGGUACGCCCCAGACUCCUACGUGAGGCAGCAGUGGGGAAUAUUGCACAAUGGGCGCAAGCCUGAUGCAGCAACGCCGCGUGCGGGAUGACGGCCUUCGGGUUGUAAACCGCUUUCGCCUGUGACGAAGCGUGAGUGACGGUAAUGGGUAAAGAAGCACCGGCUAACUACGUG